GAAUUUUGGACAAUGGGCGAAAGCCUGAUCCACCAAUGCCGCGUGCAGGAUGAAGGCCUUCGGGUUGUAAACUGCUUUUGUACGGAACGAAAAGCUUUGGGUUAAUACCCUGGAUUCAUGACACUACCGUAAUAAUAAGCAACUGCUCACUUCGUGCCAGCAGCCGCGGUCAUACGUAGGGUGCAAGCGUUCAGCGGAAUUACUGGGCGUAAAGCGGGCGCAGGCGGUUUUGUAAGACAGAGGUGAAAUCCCCGGGCUCAACCUGGGAACUGCCUUUGUGACUGCAAGGCUAGAGUACGGAAGAGGGGGGUGGAAUUCCGCGGGUAGCAGUGAAAUGCGUAGAUAUGCGGAGGAACACCGAUGGCGAAGGCAACCCCCUGGGCCUGUACUGACGCUCAUGCACGAAAGCGUGGGGAGCAAACA
This 423-nucleotide ribosomal RNA is filed under the name uncultured bacterium. RNAcentral's name for it is "partial 16S ribosomal RNA". It matches the Rfam family "Bacterial small subunit ribosomal RNA", at positions 359 to 774 of the family's 1533-position model. The record is from RNAcentral.